Non-coding RNA from Heligmosomoides polygyrus, 72 nucleotides. NCBI's taxonomy places the organism in Eukaryota, Metazoa, Nematoda, Chromadorea, Rhabditida, Heligmosomidae. The record is from Rfam.
AUGCCGGUGGUGUAAGGCAUAGCAUCGCUGCCCGAAAAGUAGAAGGUGCGGGCUCGAGUCCCGUCUGGCGCA